GGUUGGGGAUUGGAGGGGAGGGUUUCAAAGUUGGUGUAGGGGAGAGGGCUGGCAAGGCACAGUCCCCUUGGGGCAGGUCAAGGGACAGGUUACUCUUGAGCACAAUGUCAGUGUGUACAGGGCAGGGCAGCUCCAACCUGUGUCUGGCGUGUACUUCGUGUUGUCUGUUUUCCGUGUCUCAGACUGUAUGUUCCUUGGGUCUCGGUGCCUCCAUAGCUUGGUGGUCAGCAGGCACCUCAGUAGCCCUCCCAAGAGUCCAGAAUGCAUCGCUUCACUGGCACAGAGCCUGUUGAGCCCUUCUCAUCUCAGAAUUACAGCUUGACGUGUGGAUUUCUUUGGCAUGUGUCACAUCCUGGCUGUUUUGGAGCGUUCAUCUCUUGCUGUUGCCAGCCAGGUGCUGCCCGCAGCUCUGCUUGUGAGUCUCCUGUUUCCACAGAGUUGUCAUCUGGGGUUUCAUCCCUGUGUCCUCACUGGUCUUAAGUCUUCAAGCAUGGCUUCUCACACAUCCCUUAUUCUGGUUUUGAUGGCAGCUUUCUCUUGUGUGUGGUGGCAAUUGCCUCUCCUUGGCAGGUCUGCUUUAGAUCAUCUGUACCAUCGUGGCACUGUAGGGCUUCUUUACUGGCAUCAUUUUCCCUAUGGCAAUCUUUCACUGAGCAAGGACGAGAGACUUAUAGAAAGUUACAAAGGUCUUGUGAAACAAAGAUCCUGAUCUUGUUGAAACAAGAAGAUGGGGAAGCACGUGCUUUGCUUAAAAUGUGGCAGAAUUGCCGAUGUUGCUGUAGCUGAGUGACCUCUGCGCGUGACAAAAUCAACAAUAUGGAAACCAGACCUUCAGCAUUUAGGCUGCCCACCUCCAACUGAAGACCUACCCACUGUGUGUGCUGUACCUCAAAAUCGGAGUGAGAAAUUCACUAACCGGAAUAGAGUAACUGUGAAUCUGUAUUAGGUGGAGGAAAGUAACCACAAGUGCAUAAAUGUACAUAGCCUUGCUACUUCAGGGGGCAGCUUUGUGCCUAACCACCUAGCACCCUGUGUUUGCCUAAACAAAUGAAAUAAAUGAAAAUACCUUGGCUCUGUAUGUAUUUGGCAUCUUGCAUACCAGGUGAAUGACCCCACUUUUGGUAUAACGAGGUAUAACACUCGGGGUGUCCGUGUGUAGUCCUGGUCUGUGUGUGAGGGUUGGAGCUGCCCUGCCCAGGGAUGCAGCAGUACUGAAGAUGACAGGGUAGUGUAGCUUUAUGGGGCUGUGGAAGUAAGUUGGUUUGGACCAGUUCUGUUGGCAGAGACCAUACGGUCCAUCCCUGGGCAAAUAGGUGUAGGCAGCUGCUACAGUUGUGUUCACUUUUCUUUAUGGCCUGGGGCUAGGAUUGGAUCCAGUUACACCUAGACUCCUCUGAGAAGGAGUUGAGAAAGCAAGGGGGUCCAGUCUGAACCUCGUGACUGGUUGGGAGCAGCAGUUAGUGUGGAAGGGGAGGGGAUCAGAUCUGGAAGGUGCCUUAGUUUGUACAGAUGGGGCUCCCUAGCUGGCUUUUCUUGUUCUAGCUGUAGUGAGAAGGUAUAUGCAAAAGGCAGAGAGACCUCUGGCCUCACCAAGCUACCUGUGGCUGUGCAGGUGACUUGCUUUACAGGGUGUGUUUGUGUUGUUUCAGAUGCAGAGCAACGAGCAGCAAGGCCAAGGGCAGGGAAGAGGGGAGCAGAGUGCAGGCUGAAGAAGGACAGGCAUCCAGCACUGGAGUAUCGGCAGGACAGCUGGUGGUUCUGACAAGCCUGAGCUUCUCUGGCUGGAUUUUCUGGGUGCGAAUCCAAGUGUGAAGCGAGAUGUUAUCAGCAGAGCAGCCUCUGGCAAGGUGGUACACAAACCCUCCUAGUCCCCUGGGGUCCCUGCCUGGAUGAUUCAGGAUGGCCUGGUGCUGUGCAUUGCAUUUCCAGAGACAAACAGCAGCUUGGCAGCUUGUGGUCAGGAUUCCAGAGAGAUUUGAGAAGGCCCCAGAGCACCUUCUGCAUCCUCUCACAGUCAGCAUGAACUUGCUGGAGAAAUCCCAAGGCAGACUGACCAUGACACCUGAAGCAGAUACCAGCCACCGGUGUGUUCAGAUGCUCAACAAUUAUUUCUCAUACUCCCUUUCAACCACUGGAAACCUGCCGGAGUUAAAUCCCAUCUUUCAUUUCUGGAGCUUUGCUGUUUUCCUUAUUUUUCUGCCUAAGGUGCAUGAUCUGAGGUGUUGGUCUUUGAACUUGGACCAGAAGAUGCAGUUAAAAUACUCAUCUUUAUGCAGAAAGCAACCAGGGAAGACAUUCUCAAGUCAUUGCCUGACUUGGUUUAUUUCUCCAUGCAGAAAAACUCAUAGGUAUGUAAAGCAAAAAGCUCUGGUCCUAAGAGGCAGUAUGGGUUACUUUAAUAUAUGCCAAUUGGUGUGGGGAGAAACUCAUUCUGUUGUAGUAAAAAUAUCUCCAUCUUAAUAGACCUAGCAGACUUUAUUUGUUUACAGAAGCUUUAGUACCAAAAAAUACAUUAAUAAAAGAGGCUAGAAAAACAUACUAGAAAUAUUAGUCUGUACUGGCAAAGGAUUCUUUUAACAAUUUUAAAUAAAGAUUUUCCAGAAUUUGGUGGGGAGGUGGGGGGAGAAAAAGAAAUUUACUUGGAAAACCAUGCUGACUGCAAAAGGAAGAACAUCAUUUGGCAUCUGAAUUUUUUUUAACUGAUUUUUUUUGUUACCUAACCAAACACUUUCACUUACUGGUUUUAUCAAAGCUAAAAGAAAUUGUCAAAA
Apus apus (common swift) is the source of this 2771-nucleotide long non-coding RNA. RefSeq lists it as uncharacterized. The transcript has 4 exons. NCBI's taxonomy places the organism in Eukaryota, Metazoa, Chordata, Aves, Apodiformes, Apodidae. The record is from RefSeq and is a predicted model, not a curated record.